RNAcentral lists this ribosomal RNA (253 nucleotides) under uncultured bacterium. RNAcentral's name for it is "partial 16S ribosomal RNA". It matches the Rfam family "Bacterial small subunit ribosomal RNA", at positions 524 to 776 of the family's 1533-position model. The record is from RNAcentral.
UACGAAGGGGGCUAGCGUUGCUCGGAUUGACUGGGCGUAAAGGGCGCGUAGGCGGUUCGUACAGUCAGACGUGAAAUUCCUGGGCUCAACCUGGGGGCUGCGUUUGAUACGUGCGGACUUGAGUGCGGAAGAGGCGAGUGGAAUUCCCGGUGUAGCGGUGAAAUGCGCAGAUAUCGGGAGGAACACCGAUGGCGAAGGCAGAUCUCUGGGCCGUUACUGACGCUGAGGAGCGAAAGCGUGGGGAGCGAACAGG